GGAUUCCUGUUUUAUCAUGAAUAUUCAUUAGGCAGGGUCGGGGACAGUCUCGAUUCUCUUAAAUAUUCAUAUCGAGGUGGGAAUGCACGACGCGCGCUAUACUCGCACAAUGUGAGAAGAUUUAGUUCACGGAGAAUGCAUAUGGAUUGAAACUGAAGAGCUGGAAGGAGGACAUUACAACAUCUCUUAUAUUUGCAAGAUGAAGCAGAAAGUCCCAUGCAGGAUGAUGCCUCUCUACAGUGGAUGAUGAAGGCAUUCUGGUUUGCAAACUCAGAAGAGGAACAAAGAACAGAUGUUGACGGGAUCAUAUCUAGAGAUGCGGGCCUACUACACUUCAUACGAGCAAGUGUGCUAAUAUACAUGAAGGUACCCCCAAUAAAUUUUUGUGGAACAAAUGUCAUGGAGAAAAUUAUAGAUCUGAAACAGAUAUUUUUCAUUGUCAGUUGACUUGUAAAAGAAUAAUUGACUUAAUAUCACAAUUGUAAUUUAGAUUAAAAAUUAAAUGUCAAUAUAGAUGAAA
This 520-nucleotide long non-coding RNA is filed under the name Strongylocentrotus purpuratus (purple sea urchin). RNAcentral describes it as "uncharacterized LOC105443364". Lineage: Eukaryota; Metazoa; Echinodermata; Echinoidea; Camarodonta; Strongylocentrotidae. The record is from RNAcentral.